Molecule: long non-coding RNA, 1183 nt
Filed under: Rattus norvegicus (Norway rat)
Lineage: Eukaryota; Metazoa; Chordata; Mammalia; Rodentia; Muridae
Description: long non-coding RNA NONRATT001615
Source: RNAcentral
GCCCACAUUUAGGUAAACUAUACGAUUUUGUAAGAAAUGCACAUGUUUAAAUAUACAAGGCAAGAUAUACCAUUGUAUAACAUUGCAACCAAAGUCGAGGUUCUUUUUAAGUCUAAAUAUGUGAGCGUACAUGUGUGUGCACACGUGUGCAUGCACAUUCACACAUUUAACAAGAUCUAGAGCUUAGGCUUACAUGAUUUUUUUUUACACAGAAGAUUUUUAUGCAAUGAAUUUUUAUUUUCCUAUUAGCUCAAAAUAUUUUAAUUUAAGGCAAUUUCUUGACAGACAGCCUCCUCCAGUAAAGUUGGAAACUGACACAGGUUCAUUUGCCGUAUUUAAAUAUUUGUGAAAACUGAUUAGGUAUUUGGUGGUUUGUAUGUUUAUAUGUUAUUCUGUCCUUUUCCCAUAUUGUUAAGGAUUCAGCCUUCAUUUCAUGCCUAGCAAUCAGUUUCCUAAAAGCACCGAGCAGCAUGCAACAGACACUCUGCUCAUAUUUACAAAGUGAUGCAUGAAACAUCUGAGGUUGGUGUAAUGUGUCCUGGGAUGUAUACUAAUACCGACUCAGAGGACACUCCAGCACUCCCCUAGAAACCACCGUUUGCCCCCACAUCCAAUGUCAUGUAUUUAAGGCAGGUGGCUUUCUGUUGGUUAAAGAAGUGGUGUAGAUGGAGUGCAGACAUUCACUAAGUCCUUAGCUAUUGCUCUAACAUCAGACUAAAGAGCUCACCCAGGAGACAGUGCCCUCUCUUCACUGAGGAAUAUAUGUUUAUAGAGUGAUAUGUUAGACAGUGAAAAAUGUUGCUGCAUGACGUGAAUUAUUACACUUGUUUGUUUAGGCUGGUGUUAGAAACAUAAUAAAGGUACUAUUUAAUAGACUCGUUACAUGAAAACAAGAGUCGGAAAAGUCUAAGCAGUAUCUCCCUAUACAAGGCACAUUUAAUAAAUGUCUCUGAGUGUCAGCAGCCGAAGAGCCUCGCUGUCUUCCACAGCCCAUUUAUAUAUUGGCACAUCCAGUACUUUGUAGCGGAGGUUUUCCAUUUCUCUCUAAUUCUCAGUGGCUCUGCAUUGUCUUAAAAGUGAUAAUGAUAACAUGGGAAGUUAGGCUGAGUAACUUCAUACCAUUUCCUCAGAAUAUAUUUGACACAAGGAAGAUUUUUUUUUUUAAAUCAAUGGCAUUGUAGUU